Molecule: long non-coding RNA, 555 nt
Organism: Daphnia carinata
Lineage: Eukaryota; Metazoa; Arthropoda; Branchiopoda; Diplostraca; Daphniidae
Exons: 3
Source: RefSeq, a predicted model, not a curated record
AUCCUAGAUUUUCCGUGAUUUCCUACUGGCAUUCCCGAAGGCGGGACACUUUGAGGAGACUUUUAUUUUGGCGCAAGGACCAUUGGUAAUAAAAUAUGCCUUGAGAUCAAAUGUUCCCGUUCCAGACACGGAAGAUGAAUGCCUUAAACUAUUGGUUCUAGUAAUGCGACUGAUUCCAUCUUUAAAGAAGAUUCGCGUUGUUAGCCAGGAUUCAAUCAUUGAACGAGUGGUUUAUUUCAUCAAGGCUAAUGAAGACAUUUUAUCAAUUAUCGAGAAAAAGCCCCAUCUCAAGGAGUCACCUUUUAUGUGUUGUGUAGGUUCGCUGAGAAACCCAAUCUGUUUUAGCAUUGUCUGUGAAGGGGAAUUAAUAUCAAGCGGUACCAGCUCAAUUAAGGCGUUCAAGAACCUCUUCGCGUCGUUUCAUAUGUUUCGUAUUAAAUACCCUACACUCCUAAGCACAUUUUAUUAUUUUUUUUAUUCUUACGUUUUCAAUGUCCACCCUGGUAGAAUUUGUCCUUCAGUCGCAGAUUUUUUUACACAGUUAAAUGCAUAGAA